GGAGGAAUAACUCAGUGGUUAGAGUGUUGGUUUGUCAUACCAAAAGUCGUGGGUUCAAAUCCCAUUUCCUUCG
RNAcentral lists this transfer RNA (73 nucleotides) under Stachyamoeba lipophora. RNAcentral describes it as "tRNA-Asp". It matches the Rfam family "tRNA". Rfam says of the family: Transfer RNA (tRNA) molecules are approximately 80 nucleotides in length. Their secondary structure includes four short double-helical elements and three loops (D, anti-codon, and T loops). The record is from RNAcentral. Lineage: Eukaryota; Heterolobosea; Gruberellidae.